RNAcentral lists this ribosomal RNA (382 nucleotides) under uncultured bacterium. Its description in RNAcentral is "bacterial SSU rRNA". It matches the Rfam family "Bacterial small subunit ribosomal RNA", at positions 989 to 1369 of the family's 1533-position model. The record is from RNAcentral.
UCUAGAAUCCUGCAGAGAUGCGGGAGUGCCUUCGGGAAUUAGAAUACAGGUGCUGCAUGGCUGUCGUCAGCUCGUGUCGUGAGAUGUUGGGUUAAGUCCCGCAACGAGCGCAACCCUUGUCCUUAGUUACCAGCGGGUUAAGCCGGGAACUCUAAGGAUACUGCCAGUGACAAACUGGAGGAAGGCGGGGACGACGUCAAGUCAUCAUGGCCCUUACGACCAGGGCUACACACGUGCUACAAUGGUAGGUACAGAGGGCAGCUACACAGCGAUGUGAUGCGAAUCUCAAAAAGCCUAUCGUAGUCCAGAUUGGAGUCUGCAACUCGACUCCAUGAAGUAGGAAUCGCUAGUAAUCGCGGAUCANAAUGCCCGCGGUGAAUAC